RNAcentral lists this ribosomal RNA (497 nucleotides) under uncultured bacterium. Its description in RNAcentral is "partial 16S ribosomal RNA". It matches the Rfam family "Bacterial small subunit ribosomal RNA", at positions 28 to 507 of the family's 1533-position model. The record is from RNAcentral.
GAUGAACGCUGGCGGCGUGCCUAAUACAUGCCAGUCGAGCGAACGGACGAGAAGCUUGCUUCUCUGAUGUUAGCGGCGGACGGGUGAGUAACACGUGGAUAACCUACCUAUAAGACUGGGAUAACUUCGGGAAACCGUAGCUAAUACCGGAUAAUAUUUUGAACCGCAUGGUUCAAAAGUGAAAGACGGUCUUGCUGUCACUUAUAGAUGGAUCCGCGCUGCAUUAGCUAGUUGGUAAGGUAACGGCUUACCAAGGCAACGAUGCAUAGCCGACCUGAGAGGGUGAUCGGCCACACUGGAACUGAGACACGGUCCAGACUCCUACGGGAGGCAGCAGUAGGGAAUCUUCCACAAUGGGCGAAAGCCUGACGGAGCAACGCCGCGUGGGUGAUGAAGGUCUUCGGAUCGUAAAACUCUGUUAUUAGGGAAGAACAUAUGUGUAAGUAACUGUGCACAUCUUGACGGUACCUAAUCAGAAAGCCACGGCUAACUACGUG